UGCUCGGAACUGCUGCUCGGCCCCGCCCCCUUCCCGGUAACGGCCGCUCGGUGGCAGUUGGGGACCGGCUCCUCGUGGUCCCACUCUAGGGCUGCUCCCGCCUGGCCGCGGGCCCGUGGCACAAGCACUUUCCCUGUCCCUCGCUGCAGCCGCCUCCGCAGGGGAGCUCGGCGCCUGUCCUGCUGCUGUGCAAGGAGAAGCAAACCAUGGAUCAUCUGAGAUGCCAGCUAGCACCACCAUAUGCCUCACACGAUCUGGCAACACCAACACCAGAAGCAGUGGCCUGUGCAGACUACUGAGAACAGACCGGACAGAAAAGCUGGACUGAAGACGCAACAAGGAGGAAGACCCCAACCCCUUCCUUUAUCCCUGCUCUGCUUUCUGCUGCCUGCCACCAGCAACACAGGGGCUUCCCAAGCCAACUGAGCUUGGCCUCCUGUGCUGGAAAUAAUUGCUGUAUGUUAUUCUCUGGUGGAAAUAGUUGCUGUAUAUUAUUACAAUUUCAUACCCCACUUUCACAGAACACUAGGGCUGGAGGAGACCUCAUAAGAUCAUCAGGGUCCAGCCCUAAAGGAAGAGGCCAAGGCUCUAGCAAGACUUGAACUCACGACCCCUGAUUUACAAGACCAGUGUUCUAACCACUGAGCUAUGGAGCCAGUUUUUGUUGUUUUUAACCUAUUUAUUCCAUAAUAUAAACUAAUUGGGGUACAGAGAAUUACUGUUCAUUCCUAGGACCAUUUCUAAAACAAUGUGCUAUUUUAAUUUAAAUGUUUAUUUCCAACUGCAAAGCCUACUUGAUUACAUUGUUCCUAAAUUAAAGCUGCACGUUGAAUUGUAAAAGUUUCUUUACCGAAAA
Alligator mississippiensis (American alligator) is the source of this 856-nucleotide long non-coding RNA. RefSeq lists it as uncharacterized. Lineage: Eukaryota; Metazoa; Chordata; Crocodylia; Alligatoridae. The transcript has 2 exons. The record is from RefSeq and is a predicted model, not a curated record.